CCUACGGGGCGCAGCAGUGGGGAAUUGUUCGCAAUGGGCGCAAGCCUGACGACGCAACGCCGCGUGGAGGAUGAAGAUCUUCGGGUCGUAAACUCCUGUCGAAUGGGACGCGGUACCGUUAAAGGAAACCCCGGCUAACUCCGUGCCAGCAGCCGCGGUAAUACGGGGGGGGUAAGCGUUGUUCGGAAUUACUGGGCGUAAAGGGCUCGUAGGCGGCCAACUAAGUCACACGUGAAAUCCCUCAGCUUAACUGGGGAACUGCGUGUGAUACUGGAUGGCUUGGAUCCGGGAGAGGGAUGCGGAAUUCCAGGUGUAGCGGUGAAAUGCGUAGAUAUCUGGAGGAACACCGGUGGCGAAGGCGGCAUCCUGGACCGGAUUGACGCUGAGGAGCGAAAGCCAGGGGAGCAAACGGGAUUAGAUACCCUAGUAGUC
Molecule: ribosomal RNA, 432 nt
Filed under: uncultured bacterium
Lineage: Bacteria
Description: partial 16S ribosomal RNA
Rfam family: Bacterial small subunit ribosomal RNA
Source: RNAcentral